Long non-coding RNA from Salvia miltiorrhiza (redroot sage), 1174 nucleotides. RefSeq lists it as uncharacterized. The transcript has 3 exons. NCBI's taxonomy places the organism in Eukaryota, Viridiplantae, Streptophyta, Magnoliopsida, Lamiales, Lamiaceae. The record is from RefSeq and is a predicted model, not a curated record.
UAAUAAAUGAAAAAAAAAAUUGGCAAUCGAUUCACCAUUCUCCUAUCCUCCACUAGAAUCCAUUUCGCCCCCUAGCUCCCACCCACCGGCGAUUCUCCACCCACCGCCGCGAUCUGCCUAUGACCCCCACCGCGAUUCGCCGCGCCGGCACCCAUCCUCUUCUCUCCCGUCUCCAACCCUCCACCCACCGCCGCAAUCUGCCCAAUCGUGCCAGGCCCCGCCCACCGCCACGAUCUACCUCGCCGUCUCCUUCCCUCCACCCACCGUGCCUGGCCCCCGCAGCGCCCCACCGCGCCCCGCCCCUCCCACCGCAAUGAUCUGCUUCACCAGCUCUUCCUUCCCCCCUCCGCGAUUCGUCGUCCAGCCUCAAGUGACUCUCUCCUUCCCCUGCCGCGACGAUUUGAAAGCACCCUCAUCGUUUCUUUGACCUUCCCCUCUCCGCCGCCAUCAGCCAUGUAACUGGAGGUGAAGAAGAAACUUCUUGCCGCUGUGCUCCAAAACUCAACGAGGGCCGUCGUUCAACCUUGCCUCCCCUUCCUGAAGACCCGCCACUGUCCCUGUGCCGUCGUCGGAGACUCCUCUGCCUCGACGAACAAGGCAGCCACCCCGGGCUCUCGCAAGUGAAAUGAGAGUCUCACACAAACAGGUUGGAUUGGAGAUUGAAGAUACGAGGGAAGAGGAAGAAGAGGAGGAAAAUGAGCAUGAUGAAUUAAGAGGGCUAACAUUUUAGUGUUGUUGCCUCUGCAAAUGGCCCCAAUCCGAAGUAGGAGAAAACCAAGAACGGCUCCAAUCCGGGCAGUCUGAAGCAGGAAAAAACAAAGAAGUUGAUCUCCAGCAGCGCCCCAGAUCAUACUGAUCCAAAGCUGUCAAGUUUGCUACCGAAAAAGAAAGUUAAACGGAAGCCUGAUGCCAAGGUGGUCGAAGCCACAUUCCGCCUCGAGUAGCUGGUGGUUUCGUAGGGCGGAGAAACGACAUUAACUUGAUAAUGAUCACUCGGGUGUUGUUUAUCUGUGUAAAGCAUUGAGCUACCGUUGAUAGUUGAUUACAGUUGAUAGUUGAGUAGUUUUUUAGUUAGAUUUUUUGUUAUGGUGUAUUAAUCUUUGUGGUAAUUUUUGUAAUUAUUGCCACUGAACUACAGUUUAUAGAGGAUUUUGAAGGUUCUCUAUUACAAGUU